AACGCGAAGAACCUUACCAGGUCUUGACAUCCUUUGACCACUCUAGAGAUAGAGCUUUCCCUUCGGGGACAAAGUGACAGGUGGUGCAUGGUUGUCGUCAGCUCGUGUCGUGAGAUGUUGGGUUAAGUCCCGCAACGAGCGCAACCCUUAUUGUUAGUUGCCAUCAUUUAGUUGGGCACUCUAGCGAGACUGCCGGUGACAAACCGGAGGAAGGUGGGGAUGACGUCAAAUCAUCAUGCCCCUUAUGACCUGGGCUACACACGUGCUACAAUGGACGGUACAAUGAGUCGCAAGACCGCGAGGUUUAGCUAAUCUCUUAAAGCCGUUCUCAGUUCGGAUUGUAGGCUGCAACUCGCCUACAUGAAGCCGGAAUCGCUAGUAAUCGUGGAUCAGCACGCCACGGUGAAUACGUUCCCGGGUCUUGUACACACCG
RNAcentral lists this ribosomal RNA (433 nucleotides) under uncultured Vagococcus sp. RNAcentral's name for it is "bacterial SSU rRNA". It matches the Rfam family "Bacterial small subunit ribosomal RNA", at positions 958 to 1392 of the family's 1533-position model. The record is from RNAcentral. Lineage: Bacteria; Bacillati; Bacillota; Bacilli; Lactobacillales; Enterococcaceae.